GAAAUUCUUUAGUCAUAUUUGUAGUUGUCUCACACCAGAUACUCAUGUGACUCUAGAGAUUCUAUCGUAUAUCCAAAUUUUGAUUGUCACCAUAUGAUUGUGUAUCGCACCCUGUCAUGUAUUGGGUUGUGUUGUAUCAUGCACUGAUCAUUGUUCGUUGCAUCCCGUGUCGUUGCAUGAGUCGUGUUUGAGUCGUUGUGUU
Molecule: long non-coding RNA, 202 nt
Filed under: Vitis vinifera (wine grape)
Lineage: Eukaryota; Viridiplantae; Streptophyta; Magnoliopsida; Vitales; Vitaceae
Description: long non-coding RNA (VVIN_LNC003302)
Source: RNAcentral